UCCAGCUUAUCACCGGCGGUCUCCUUAGAGUUCCCAGCAUUACCUGAUGGCAACUAAGGACGAGGGUUGCGCUCGUUGCGGGACUUAACCCAACACCUCACGGCACGAGCUGACGACAGCCAUGCAGCACCUGUGCACCAGUCCCCGAAGGGAAAGCCGACUUUCACCGGCGGUCCAAUGCAUGUCAAACCCAGGUAAGGUUCUUCGCGUUGCCUCGAAUUAAACCACAUACUCCACCGCUUGUGCGGGCCCCCGUCAAUUCCUUUGAGUUUCAAUCUUGCGAUCGUACUCCCCAGGCGGGGUACUUAUUGCGUUAGCUGCGGCGCCGGGGGGGUCGAUACCCCCGACACCUAGUACCCAACGUUUACCGCUUGGACUAC
Molecule: unclassified non-coding RNA, 380 nt
Filed under: uncultured bacterium
Lineage: Bacteria
Description: contains 16S-23S intergenic spacer region
Source: RNAcentral